This 253-nucleotide ribosomal RNA is filed under the name uncultured bacterium. RNAcentral's name for it is "partial 16S ribosomal RNA". It matches the Rfam family "Bacterial small subunit ribosomal RNA", at positions 524 to 776 of the family's 1533-position model. The record is from RNAcentral.
UACGGAGGGUGCGAGCGUUACCCGGAUUUACUGGGUGUAAAGGGCGUGUAGGCGGCCUCUCAAGUCCGAUGCUAAAGACCGAAGCUCAACUUCGGGGGUGCGUUGGAUACUGUGAGGCUAGACGGUCGGAGAGGGUAGCGGAAUUUCCGGAGUAGCGGUGAAAUGCGCAGAUACCGGAAGGAACGCCAAUAGCGAAGGCCGCCACCUGGACGAUUUGUGACGCUGAGGCGCGAAAGCGUGGGGAGCAAACGGG